UAAAAAGUAUCAAAUAAAUUGCGACAUAUUUCUGGAACUACAUUGCACGUCUGUAGUUUCCCUAAAAGACCAGGGGUGAGUGUUUUUAAAUUAAGUUUUCUGUAUAUAGAAAAGAAAAUGAAUAUCAAAAAACAAAAACAAAAACAAAAACCAUAGAUAAUAAUGUUAGGUAAAUUGUUUUGGAAUAUAUUACCAGUAGAUGCUUGUUACAACCUCAAAUUACUUUCAUGUGAUAAUGAAAUAUAUAUGUGUCGGCAAAAAUGGUAAAAGUGGCAUAAGGUUUAUGUUUUUAUUAUGUAAAUUAUCGGGCACAGUUUCACGAUAUUAUUUGAAAGUUUGUACUAUUUGUUAGUUGUGGAGAAAUAUUGUGUUUGUUUUUUUUGAGAAAAAAAUCGUGUGUUUGAAAAUAACUAGAGUGAAUGUAAAGAUAUGUGACUCAACUGCUGGAGGCAUCAAAUGUUAGGCACUAUAUUUCUUUGAAAAUCGAAUAUGAUUCAACGCUAUCCUUAUGUACUCACAUGCAUGGUUAAAUGUCGCAUCUUAAGGCAUAUAACGCAGAAAAGAAGAUAGGUAAAAAAAACGAGAUACAGGG
This 592-nucleotide long non-coding RNA is filed under the name Brassica napus (rape). RNAcentral describes it as "long non-coding RNA (BNAP_LNC003566)". Lineage: Eukaryota; Viridiplantae; Streptophyta; Magnoliopsida; Brassicales; Brassicaceae. The record is from RNAcentral.